AGCGUCUCAUCUCGAACACCCUCUCCUUCUGGUUGUGCACACCGAUCUUCCACAGGAAGAGCUUUCUGGACUGACGCUCCAACUACACACACCACAGAUGGAUCGAAAGACAUGAUGUAUUAAGAUUAAACUGUAGAUGUUGACAGCUCCAGUUGCUGUGACGACCAGCACCAUGAGGCCCAGCUUGAUCAGGUGGCUGACCUGCACCAGCAUGGCCGUGGCGAUGAGCGACAUCACGGCCAUGAAGCUGUAGUGCUUUGGAUUCUCUGCGCAGCCUGCAGGGUCGCCGAGAGCCACCAACACGGGCCCAGAGGUGCUGUUGAUGAGUCGGAGGGUCGGCGGGACACAGCUCAGCUAGAACAUCACAGAAGAAGUGCGCGAGUCAUUCAACAAUAAACGUUGUGUCUUAUUGGUUUUUACUUAGCUAGAUUAAAUGUGCUAUAAAUAUAUAAAUUGAAUAUUUAAAUCAA
Molecule: long non-coding RNA, 470 nt
Organism: Acanthopagrus latus (yellowfin seabream)
Lineage: Eukaryota; Metazoa; Chordata; Actinopteri; Spariformes; Sparidae
Exons: 2
Source: RefSeq, a predicted model, not a curated record